UACAGAGGGUGCGAGCGUUAAUCGGAAUUACUGGGCGUAAAGCGCGCGUAGGCGGCUUUGCAAGUCGGGUGUGAAAUCCCCAGGCUUAACCUGGGAACUGCAUUCGAGACUGCAUUGCUAGAGUAUGGGAGAGGGAAGUGGAAUUUCCGGUGUAGCGGUGAAAUGCGUAGAUAUCAGGAGGAAUACCGAUGGCGAAGGCAGGUCUCUGGGCUGACACUGACGCUCAUACACGAAAGCGUGGGGAGCAAACAGG
RNAcentral lists this ribosomal RNA (253 nucleotides) under uncultured bacterium. RNAcentral's name for it is "partial 16S ribosomal RNA". It matches the Rfam family "Bacterial small subunit ribosomal RNA", at positions 524 to 776 of the family's 1533-position model. The record is from RNAcentral.